This is an RNA transcript of Daucus carota subsp. sativus, 2160 nucleotides long. It is a transcript of the gene named probable cyclic nucleotide-gated ion channel 20, chloroplastic, with no coding region annotated. The record is from RefSeq and is a predicted model, not a curated record. NCBI's taxonomy places the organism in Eukaryota, Viridiplantae, Streptophyta, Magnoliopsida, Apiales, Apiaceae. The transcript is spliced from 2 exons.
UUUAGCAUUAUCUUUCACUUUGUCCUUCCCAAGAAUUUCUUCUACUAAAGUAACAUACUCUGAAGUUGUUGAGAUCUUUCGUUCUUUUCUUGGUCGGUUUUCCUACUUGUCUAGCAGAAUAAUAUUCAGUUAGUCCUCCUCUUUGAUACUCUACUAUCACUCAAGAAUCAAGAUUGCAAAACACGGGCUUGUUUAUAACCGAGCAAUGAAUGAACAGGAGAAACAUAAGGCCAAUCCUGUGUUUAGAAGGUCCAUUUCCCGGAUGCGUAGUCCAUCAUCACUAUCCAUUGCAGUGAACUCCCUGGAACCUGAUGACCACAAAUUUUCUAAUACACACGGCUGGGCAAGGAGAAUUCUAUCUUCACUGAAUCAAUGCAUUCCGGGGGUAAUGAAUCCUUAUGCUCAAAUAGUUCAAAAAUGGAACAAUAUCUUGAUCUUCUCGUAUUUGUUUUCUGGUUUAUUUGACUCUCUGUUUCUUUUUCUGCUAUCCGCAAAGCAAGGGAACAAUUGCAUAGCUGUUAAUCAGACAACCACAAAAGCACUUAUAUUUCUGCGAAGCGUGACUAAUUUUUUUUACUUAUUGCGUAUACUUGUUAAGUUUAGAUUGGCUUAUGUUGCGCCUGGAGACUCGGGUUCUUAUAAUCUAGUCGACCAUCCAAAGAAAAUAGCUCUCAACUAUCUUUCUGGUUAUUUUCUUAUUGAUUUUUUUGUAGUGUUACCUCUUUCCCAAGUGAUUAUGGGGUUGGUCCUCCAGAAAUCAAACGGGCAUUCUGGGGCAAAUGAUGUCGUGAAUGUGUUGCAAGUAGUGAUGAUUUUUCAAUACAUGGCCAUGCUAAGUAGAGUUGUUCCUAUGCUCGUUGAGAAUAGACCAAUGUCUCCGGAAUGUUUGUAGCCACUUUUGGUGUUUAAAGUAUAUAUAUUGUCAACAAAACGACCAUGGAAGAUUCAGAGAAGAUCCGGCACUAUGGAAAAAGUGGAAGGAUAACACCAACGCUACUGCUUGUUUUGGUCCAGAAAAUUUCAACUAUGGAAUCUAUGUUCAAGCUGUUAGUCUGACAACAAAAUCUCUACCAAUGAGGUACAUAUACUCGCUAUUUUGGGGGUUCCAGCAAAUUAGUACUUUGGCUGGAAAUCAAACUCCAGCUUUCUCUGUGUUGGAAGUGCUCUUCACAAUGUUCAUCACUGCGACGGGUCUUCUGCUCUUCUCUCUUCUCAUCGGAAAUAUGCAGAACUUUGUACAAGCUCUGGGGCGCAGGAGUUUAGAAAUGUUUGUAAGGCGUUUGGAUGUUGAGCAAUGGAUGAGCCAUAUGAAGUUUCCAGACAAACUUAAAAUGGAAGUUUAUGAUUCAGAACGAUAUGAAUGGACUGUCACGAGAGGCCUAAAUGAAUCGAUGCUAAUGGAGAAUCUACCUGAAGUCCUCCAAAAAAAUAUACGUCGACAUCGCUUUGAAUUUGUCAGAAAAUCCCCAAUCUUUUCUCUGAUGCAUGAUUCCAUCUUAGAUGCCAUAUUUGAAAGACUGAAACGAAAAACAUAUCUCAGGGGACACAGAAUUAUGGUUUGUGGAGAUCUAAUUGAUAAAAUGUUUUUCAUUGUUCAAGGAAAGCUUGAGAUCAUUGGUAAAGAUAAGAAUGUAGCUCCUUUGCACGAAGGGGAAGUUUGUGGUGAAGAACUAAUUACUUUGUGCCUUGAGCAUAUUGCUUCAAAUGGAAUCUGAGAAAAAAAUUACGAUUCCAGCACACAGACUGGUAAGCAAUAGGUUGGUAAGAUGCUUAACAAAUGUACAAGCAUACACAAUCCAAGUUGCAGACCUUGAGGAAGUCAUUAGUCUUUACUCCGGCUUUCUGAGUAAUAAUCCUCAUAUUCAAGGUGCCAUCAGGGAGGAAGUUCCUGAUCGUCGGCAGGGCCUUGCUCGCAGCAAAUCGCUUUAAACUUUCACAGAGAAGUAGGGAUGAGCGGAUGUAACUUGGAACUCGUUUUAAACUUAUGUAGCUAGGAUAAAUUAGCUGGAUAACAUAAAUUAUGUCUACAUGUACUCUACUUGAUAUGUGCCUCCCGAUCAAACACUGGUGCAAGUAUGAACUAGUUCCAAAGAAUGGAAUGGAUGAAGGAAUGAAAUUUCUUAACAAUUGUCCUUAAUAUAGUUCAUUUUUCAUUAUAUU